AAAAGUCAUCUCAUCUGAAUCAGGAGAGACAUAAGUAAUGAUCAAGCACCGUUUACAAGUGAAAACUAAACUAAAAUAGUUCUAAACAAAUAAAUAGGUGGAUUUUUAUGUGAAAGGACAAAAGGGGAUGAAGUUUUUCACUGGAGAAAGCAUUAUUAGGGAUUAUAGACUGUAGAUCCACUGAUGAGCAAAUGAUGUAGUGCUAAAUUUAUCCAAAUCUGUUUCAAUGAAGAACCAAAUUCAUCUACAUCUUGGAUGACCAGAAGCUGAGUAAAUAUUCAGCAAAUUUUCAUUUUGGGGUAAACCAUUCCUUUAAGUGUUUUUGAGAUUUUCACCCUUUUGUUUCUAUUUUUGCUUGUUUCAUAACAUCAGAUUUUUAAAUUCUGCUUCUUAUUUCCAACAUAAUUUGCUUUUCAAGUAGAUCCUCUAAAAUAGCUCAUAACGAAGGCUUAUUUUUAUCUAAACUGAUCAAAUAAAGAAAUAUAGCCUUGUAA
Long non-coding RNA from Carassius carassius (crucian carp), 494 nucleotides. RefSeq lists it as uncharacterized. Lineage: Eukaryota; Metazoa; Chordata; Actinopteri; Cypriniformes; Cyprinidae. The record is from RefSeq and is a predicted model, not a curated record. The transcript is spliced from 2 exons.